Molecule: unclassified non-coding RNA, 317 nt
Filed under: uncultured fungus
Lineage: Eukaryota; Fungi
Description: partial contains small subunit ribosomal RNA, internal transcribed spacer 1, and 5.8S ribosomal RNA
Rfam family: Eukaryotic small subunit ribosomal RNA (bases 1-73)
Source: RNAcentral
GCAAACUUGGUCAUUUAGAGGAAGUAAAAGUCGUAACAAGGUCUCCGUUGGUGAACCAGCGGAGGGAUCAUUACAAAACAGAGAGAAAUCUCUAUAACCCUUUGUGAACAUUACCUUUUGUCAGUUGCUUCGGCGGAAGGCUUCCUCCUCUCGGAGGCGGCCCCGGGGCGCCGGCCUUAGCCGGAUGCUUCCGCCGGAGGGACACCAACCAAACUCUUGUUGUAAUCUUACAGUGGUAUCUCCGAGUUAAAAAUAAAAAACAAGUUAAAACUUUCAACAACGGAUCUCUUGGUUCUGGCAUCGAUGAAGAACGCAGC